This 295-nucleotide small RNA is filed under the name Pochonia chlamydosporia 170. RNAcentral's name for it is "5' ureB small RNA". It matches the Rfam family "5' ureB small RNA". The record is from Rfam by way of RNAcentral. Lineage: Eukaryota; Fungi; Ascomycota; Sordariomycetes; Hypocreales; Clavicipitaceae.
CUUCGUUGGCUUGCUGUGGACAGAUAUAAUGAAUAUGCGUGUCAAUUCCUCCAGCCGUGACAAUCUUUCCUUCACCAGCCACGACAUCCGUGCAACUUCCCACAAUCAUGUUUGGCGUCACGCCCUCCAUGACGUCCGGGCUGCCUGCCUUGCCGAUACCCACAAUCAUGCCGUCUUUGAUACCGAUAUCAGCCUUGUAAAUCCCGGUCCAGUCGACAAUAAGAGCAUUCGUAACCACCACGUCCAGCGUAUCUUCAUCCGACUUCCCGGUCGCUUGGCCCAUGCCCUCUCGCAG